CUUGGGCAGGUUUUAGGGUUCCGUAGCCAAAUAGCAAAAAAUGGAACUCUUUUAGCUUCGUCAUGUCCGUCUGUCCGUAUCACUCACAGCCACUUUUUUCCGAAACUAUAAGAACUAUACUGUUGAAACUUGGUAAGUAGAUGUAUUCUGUGAACCGCAUUAAGAUUUUCACACAAAAAUAGAAAAUAUAAACAAUAAAUUUUGGGGGUUCCCCAUACUUAGAACUGAAACUCAAAUUUUUUUUUUCAUUAUAACCAUACGUGUCAUACGUGUGGGGUAUCUAUGGAUAGGUCUUCAAAAAUGAUAUUGAGGUUUCUAAUAUUUUUUUAUUCUAAACUGAAUAGUUUGCGCGAGAGACACUUCCAAAGUGGUAAAAUGUGUGUCCCCCCGCCCCCCUGUAACUUCUAAAAUAAGAGAAUGAUAAAACUAAAAAAAAUAUAUUAUGAUGUACAUUCCCAUGCAAACUUCCACCGAAAAUUGGUUUGAACGAGAUCUAGUAAGUAGUUUUUUUUAUACGUCACAAA
Cydia splendana is the source of this 524-nucleotide long non-coding RNA. RefSeq lists it as uncharacterized. The record is from RefSeq and is a predicted model, not a curated record. The transcript is spliced from 2 exons. NCBI's taxonomy places the organism in Eukaryota, Metazoa, Arthropoda, Insecta, Lepidoptera, Tortricidae.